CAGGAAGCUACUUUUUCAGAGAAGGGAAGUUGAAAUGUUCCUCAUACCUCAUGCGAUAAAAGCCAUGUUUUGCGACCAGCGACCUACACAGCCUGACGGGCAUCUCGUUUAUUAAAUGUGCACUUUCGACCAGUUUCCUGUGCUUUUUACUGAUGCCUUUCUCAGAGGUCAGGAUGCACCGUUCCUGUUGAGCAGCCAAUCGAGCAGUCUUUGUGACUCCUGCCAUCUGUGCUCCAAUGAUGAAAUUUUCUUUCAAAGUCAUAUAGCUCUACAUCUCACCUAUCUGGAAGUAUCUUGC
Ictalurus punctatus (channel catfish) is the source of this 298-nucleotide long non-coding RNA. The record is from Ensembl. Lineage: Eukaryota; Metazoa; Chordata; Actinopteri; Siluriformes; Ictaluridae.